GCCGGAUACCUCUAUUUUGUAGAUGCAAGAAAAUACCGUGAUACAGCCAUUUUUUACUAACUGCAUCACGGUUUUGUAAACCGAAGGCCGGGAGUUCGAAUCUCUCAUCCGGCACCA
This 117-nucleotide transfer RNA is filed under the name Bombella pollinis. RNAcentral describes it as "tRNA-OTHER". The record is from RNAcentral. Lineage: Bacteria; Pseudomonadati; Pseudomonadota; Alphaproteobacteria; Acetobacterales; Acetobacteraceae.